This 2549-nucleotide ribosomal RNA is filed under the name Escherichia coli UMEA 3671-1. RNAcentral's name for it is "bacterial LSU rRNA". It matches the Rfam family "Bacterial large subunit ribosomal RNA", at positions 398 to 2925 of the family's 2925-position model. Lineage: Bacteria; Pseudomonadati; Pseudomonadota; Gammaproteobacteria; Enterobacterales; Enterobacteriaceae. The record is from RNAcentral.
UGUGAGCUCGAUGAGUAGGGCGGGACACGUGGUAUCCUGUCUGAAUAUGGGGGGACCAUCCUCCAAGGCUAAAUACUCCUGACUGACCGAUAGUGAACCAGUACCGUGAGGGAAAGGCGAAAAGAACCCCGGCGAGGGGAGUGAAAAAGAACCUGAAACCGUGUACGUACAAGCAGUGGGAGCACAGAGCAAUCUGUGUGACUGCGUACCUUUUGUAUAAUGGGUCAGCGACUUAUAUUCUGUAGCAAGGUUAACCGAAUAGGGGAGCCGAAGGGAAACCGAGUCUUAACUGGGCGUUAAGUUGCAGGGUAUAGACCCGAAACCCGGUGAUCUAGCCAUGGGCAGGUUGAAGGUUGGGUAACACUAACUGGAGGACCGAACCGACUAAUGUUGAAAAAUUAGCGGAUGACUUGUGGCUGGGGGUGAAAGGCCAAUCAAACCGGGAGAUAGCUGGUUCUCCCCGAAAGCUAUUUAGGUAGCGCCUCGUGAAUUCAUCUCCGGGGGUAGAGCACUGUUUCGGCAAGGGGGUCAUCCCGACUUACCAACCCGAUGCAAACUGCGAAUACCGGAGAAUGUUAUCACGGGAGACACACGGCGGGUGCUAACGUCCGUCGUGAAGAGGGAAACAACCCAGACCGCCAGCUAAGGUCCCAAAGUCAUGGUUAAGUGGGAAACGAUGUGGGAAGGCCCAGACAGCCAGGAUGUUGGCUUAGAAGCAGCCAUCAUUUAAAGAAAGCGUAAUAGCUCACUGGUCGAGUCGGCCUGCGCGGAAGAUGUAACGGGGCUAAACCAUGCACCGAAGCUGCGGCAGCGACGCUUAUGCGUUGUUGGGUAGGGGAGCGUUCUGUAAGCCUGUGAAGGUGUACUGUGAGGUAUGCUGGAGGUAUCAGAAGUGCGAAUGCUGACAUAAGUAACGAUAAAGCGGGUGAAAAGCCCGCUCGCCGGAAGACCAAGGGUUCCUGUCCAACGUUAAUCGGGGCAGGGUGAGUCGACCCCUAAGGCGAGGCCGAAAGGCGUAGUCGAUGGGAAACAGGUUAAUAUUCCUGUACUUGGUGUUACUGCGAAGGGGGGACGGAGAAGGCUAUGUUGGCCGGGCGACGGUUGUCCCGGUUUAAGCGUGUAGGCUGGUUUUCCAGGCAAAUCCGGAAAAUCAAGGCUGAGGCGUGAUGACGAGGCACUACGGUGCUGAAGCAACAAAUGCCCUGCUUCCAGGAAAAGCCUCUAAGCAUCAGGUAACAUCAAAUCGUACCCCAAACCGACACAGGUGGUCAGGUAGAGAAUACCAAGGCGCUUGAGAGAACUCGGGUGAAGGAACUAGGCAAAAUGGUGCCGUAACUUCGGGAGAAGGCACGCUGAUAUGUAGGUGAAGUCCCUUGCGGAUGGAGCUGAAAUCAGUCGAAGAUACCAGCUGGCUGCAACUGUUUAUUAAAAACACAGCACUGUGCAAACACGAAAGUGGACGUAUACGGUGUGACGCCUGCCCGGUGCCGGAAGGUUAAUUGAUGGGGUCAGCGCAAGCGAAGCUCUUGAUCGAAGCCCCGGUAAACGGCGGCCGUAACUAUAACGGUCCUAAGGUAGCGAAAUUCCUUGUCGGGUAAGUUCCGACCUGCACGAAUGGCGUAAUGAUGGCCAGGCUGUCUCCACCCGAGACUCAGUGAAAUUGAACUCGCUGUGAAGAUGCAGUGUACCCGCGGCAAGACGGAAAGACCCCGUGAACCUUUACUAUAGCUUGACACUGAACAUUGAGCCUUGAUGUGUAGGAUAGGUGGGAGGCUUUGAAGUGUGGACGCCAGUCUGCAUGGAGCCGACCUUGAAAUACCACCCUUUAAUGUUUGAUGUUCUAACGUGGACCCGUGAUCCGGGUUGCGGACAGUGUCUGGUGGGUAGUUUGACUGGGGCGGUCUCCUCCUAAAGAGUAACGGAGGAGCACGAAGGUUGGCUAAUCCUGGUCGGACAUCAGGAGGUUAGUGCAAUGGCAUAAGCCAGCUUGACUGCGAGCGUGACGGCGCGAGCAGGUGCGAAAGCAGGUCAUAGUGAUCCGGUGGUUCUGAAUGGAAGGGCCAUCGCUCAACGGAUAAAAGGUACUCCGGGGAUAACAGGCUGAUACCGCCCAAGAGUUCAUAUCGACGGCGGUGUUUGGCACCUCGAUGUCGGCUCAUCACAUCCUGGGGCUGAAGUAGGUCCCAAGGGUAUGGCUGUUCGCCAUUUAAAGUGGUACGCGAGCUGGGUUUAGAACGUCGUGAGACAGUUCGGUCCCUAUCUGCCGUGGGCGCUGGAGAACUGAGGGGGGCUGCUCCUAGUACGAGAGGACCGGAGUGGACGCAUCACUGGUGUUCGGGUUGUCAUGCCAAUGGCACUGCCCGGUAGCUAAAUGCGGAAGAGAUAAGUGCUGAAAGCAUCUAAGCACGAAACUUGCCCCGAGAUGAGUUCUCCCUGACUCCUUGAGAGUCCUGAAGGAACGUUGAAGACGACGACGUUGAUAGGCCGGGUGUGUAAGCGCAGCGAUGCGUUGAGCUAACCGGUACUAAUGAACCGUGAGGCUUAACCUU